Long non-coding RNA from Carassius gibelio (silver crucian carp), 1351 nucleotides. RefSeq lists it as uncharacterized. The transcript has 3 exons. Lineage: Eukaryota; Metazoa; Chordata; Actinopteri; Cypriniformes; Cyprinidae. The record is from RefSeq and is a predicted model, not a curated record.
CGGUCACUGCUGAUUCAAAACAAUUCUUUCACUCUCUGCCUCCUCUAAGGUCAAAACUGGAGCUGAAGGCAGAACUUCAUAGUUCUCGUACAUAGUUGACAACAAGAGGAAGUUUGUAUGGGAAGUGGUCUCGAAUCAAGUUGUGACAGCGACAUGUGACACAGGACACUUGAACUUCUAUCACUACAUAAACUGAAAGAGUUAUUAGCAGAGUACUGAUCACCAGUCACUUUCUCUUCAAGCAAACACACCAAAGCUUUGGAUCUCUGGUCAACCUGAGGAAUCUGGGACCCUUCUUCCCUCAAGAUCAAGUCUGGGCCGGUCUAGAUGUGCGAAGUCAAACUAUACGAAGUGAAAGUUGAGGAGAAUGCCUUCCUUGCACAGCCAGCGCCGGGGGCUGACUCGCACGGAAUCACCUGUCAGGACAUCUCCGAGCACACGGACCAUCGGAAACUGGCCAUUUGCAGCAUCAUAUGUGGCAUCUCCUGCUUCGGAAUAAUGUCCCUCAUGUACUCGGUCAAGGCUCGAGAGACAAAAAAAAGACUUAAAAAUGAAGACAGUCCAGAAACACGAGAGAUGUUUAAGAAAUACUCAGAAAAGGCGUGUAAAUGGGGAAUCGGCUCCAUUGUAGCCUGGGUGGUUUUAAUUCUCAUCUUUCCAUUGCUUCUGGGAUUCCUGUCCUAUGUUGUAACCUUCAUAGACUGACAGUGAAGACGCUUUCUACAGUUCAGUGAGCAACGAAAGCAAAUGAAUUGUAGGAGUGCAGAAACAGACUCUUUCAGUGCCUGCAUUGGACACUGCAUCCAGACCAUCCAAGAAGUAACUUAUUGACAAUAGGUUGGACAUUAACGGUCAUAUUUUAAAUUGUUUUAAAAUUUGCUUGUCCUCGGUUUGGAUCAAAGGUCAACAACCUGCUACCUACAACAUAAAGAGGAUUCAUCAGUUUGCACAAAAGGACUAAAUAUAAUUUGGAUGCCUUUUGGUAGUAGCAAAACAUACUGGAUUAUAAUAGUAACAUACUUAAAUCACUGCCAUUAAAAAACCCCGUAACUUUCAGGAAUUUGUUACAUGCAUGAGAUGGAGCCAUGCAUAAAAAUACAUCAGCACUGUCCAAACAAAAAGCAACUUUUACACUUCAGCAAGCUGAUUUUAUUUAUACUCUUAAAUUGGAAAUAAAACAUUGAGACACUCACAGAGAGCAUGACAAGUCAAAUGUGGAGAUCCAGAUGUGGUUACAUUAUUAACAUUCUGUUCUUGUAAAUAAGUUGUAUUGUUUAAUAUCGUGUGCUUUUAAUGUUUUGUACACUGCAUGUAUCUCAGACUUUGUAAUAAAAUGUGUAACAGUCAAAAA